RNAcentral lists this ribosomal RNA (435 nucleotides) under uncultured bacterium. RNAcentral describes it as "bacterial SSU rRNA". It matches the Rfam family "Bacterial small subunit ribosomal RNA", at positions 29 to 507 of the family's 1533-position model. The record is from RNAcentral.
AACGAACGCUGGCGUCAGGCCUAACACAUGCAAGUCGAGCGAGACCUUCGGGUCUAGCGGCGGACGGGUUAGGUAACGCGUGGGAACGUGCCCUUCUCUGCGGAAUAGCACUGGAAACGGUGAGUAAUACCGCAUACGCCCUUCCGGGGGAAAGAUUUAUCGGAGAAGGAUCGGCCCGCGUUAGAUUAGAUAGUUGGUGGGGUAACGGCCUACCAAGUCUACGAUCUAUAGCUGGUUUUAGAGGAUGAUCAGCAACACUGGGACUGAGACACGGCCCAGACUCCUACGGGGAGGCAGCAGUGGGGAAUCUUAGACAAUGGGCGCAAGCCUGAUCUAGCCAUGCCGCGUGUGUGAUGAAGGUCUUAGGAUCGUAAAGCACUUUCGCCAGGGAUGAUAAUGACAGUACCUGGUAAAGAAACCCCGGCUAACUCCGUG